GGGCAUGUGACGCGAACAGACCCAUACUGUGCCAUGGUACUAUCCAAGCCUCCGAGCUCCAUUCUGUGUAAUUGCGUGUAAAAGUACGUUGUAUGUCAAAUUUGCGGACGAUCGCAAGAAUUAUUCGUGCUUCACGCACGAGUUUAAGUAAACUUUGUGCAGAGUGCUUUUGAGUAAGAUUCCAUUACAAUUCAACUUUAAAUAUGUUUGGGCAAACCGGAAAUACAUCGUUUAGUGGAUUUAGCACAGGAACACAGAACAGUCUGUUCGGGCAGUCUGCAUUUGGUAAACCUAUUACCACAACAAGUUUCGGUAGUGGCGCAACACCCGUCUUUGGUAGUAGCAAUACUUCACUCUUUAGUUCUAAGCCCACAGGUUCUACUACAGGUGGCUUGUUUGGAAAUACCACAACGCCACCGGCAUUUAGACAGCCAACUAAUACUCAACCAUCCUUCGGAGGCUUUGGGACGACAAAUACAAGCACUAAUCUUUUUGGUACUCAACAAAAUACUGGUACAAAUCUUUUCGGUACGAGUACAGGAACUUCGGCGUUUGGUCAAGCGAACAAGCCUGGUUUCAACUUUGGCACAACAUCUGGAACCAAUCUGUUUGGACAGACACAGCAGAAUGCACAGCAAACUACUCCAUUUGGUCAAACUAAUACUACAAAUACAAAUCUUUUUGGAACAACCACAAAUUUUGGUAAUACCAAUCCUACUACUGUACCAGCUGGUACCGCAGUGAAAUUCACACCUGUCAUCACGACCGAUUCAAUGUCAAAGAAUGGAAUAUCACACAGUAUAUCAGCCCGUCAUUGUUGCAUUGCAUCUAUGAAGGAAUAUGAAAACAAAUCGUACGAAGAAUUACGUUUUGAAGAUUAUCAGCUUGGAAGAAAAGGUCCGCAAACAGGCCUUUUUGGAACAUCAACACAGACAUCGCCGUUCGGUGGCACAACAGCUGGUACUAGCACAGGUGGUACAGGAUUUGGGUCGAUGACUGGAGGAUUCGGUGCCACCAACCAAUCAGGAUCGACCGGACUGUUUGGAAAGCCCAUUAGUAAUUUUGGAUCAUCAGCUACUACGACGACCAACAGUUUUGUAUUCAAUUCUCCGCCCACUACAAAUCUGUUUGGUACUAAUACUCAAACAAAACCAUUUGGUACAGCUGCCCCGACGCCACUUUUUGGAACCCCCAGUACUAAUCAAACUGCUGGAACUGGUUUUGGUAAUAUAAACACUACACAGAAUACAGGAUUUGGAUCUGCAUUUGGUUCCACACAACCUAAUCAGAGUAUUGGAUUGUUUAAUCAAAAUAAAUCCGCUUUCAAUAUUCCAUCGACUUCGACCAGCACUGGCUUUACUGGUUUUGGUCAACCGGCCACUAAUACCACUACAUUAUUUGGUAAUAAAACUACUACUACUGGAUUUGGAGGAACAUCUACGUUUGGUGCAACUGCACCAUCUACAUUCGGAACUAAUACAGGUUUCAAUACUGGUUCCAAUGCUGGGUCUUCAUUGUUUAACUCGUCAUUCAAACCAGCUGGACAAACGCCAGCAUUUUCUUUCGGAACUACACCUGUGUCUUCAACUGGACUUGGUACAAAUACUGGUUUGAGCUUAGGUGGUAAUUCUUCAUUAUUCGGGCAACAAAAGCCAGGCAGUCUGUUCGGAAAUACCGGAAACAAUACGACAUUUAAUAAUCCUGGAUCAUUCGGACCUUCUACUUUUGGAACGAGCUCUAACAUGAUAUCCGGAACAGGAAUUGGUUUACUUAAUGGAGGGAUGACGUCAAAUCAAGCUAAGACAAAUGGUUCAGUACCAGUGCAUCAACAAAUUUUGGCUCUUGUUUCCGCUCCAUUUGGCGAUUCACCAUUAUUGAAGAAUCUUUUACCAGCAUCUGGAAAAACCGAGGAACUGUUAAAACCUACGAAUCCAGCAUCAAAAGUACUGAAUAGUCCGCAAUACAGAGUUACUGCUAAUAACAAAUCUCCGAAGAUCAAAGCGAGAGUCGUCAGUUCUUCACAGCUGUCCAAGAAAUCUUUGUUUGAUGGCCUCGAGGAAGAAGAUCCUGUGAUAACCGAGGCUUUUCAACCCCGGCCAAGCGCGAAACGUUUAGUGUUGCGACCGAAGUCGACGAUAAAUUCCUUGGUUCAAUCACCCACGGAAAAUGGAGAAUCCGUGACAAGAAAUGGUACUAUAGAUGGAGCAGAUAUAUCAAAUGCGAUGCACAGUAAUAAUAUCGAAGUCAAUGACAAAGAAAAUCACAGUCAAGACAAUAAUCGACUUGCGAACGAUCGACGGUCGUCUACAUCUUGGUUGAAGUCAACACUUCCGCGGAAAAAUAAAAUUUUGGAUGAUGAGUUGCUCGAGGGACAGCGAUCGCCCUUUUCUGGAACAAAUGUACCUGAAGAGGUGAAUAAUACGGUGGCCGAAUUGAGAUCACAAAAUAAUAUAUCGAAUCAUUCAGAAACAAUUAAUUCGAUCGAGAUGCCAUUAAAUUCUACUUUUGAUGAGAAAAACUCCGCAAAUCUUACCAUACCAAAUGCAGAAUCUGGUCAGGAGACAGACGAGGGUUCAUUUUCUAUGUUACAAUCAAACUGGAGUAUGAACAUGGCUAAAGUUACAUUACGACGAGUAGGCUAUUAUACCAUUCCGCCGCUUGACAAACUGGACGAUUUUGUUUGCGGCGAGACGUGUAUCGUCCCAAACUUUACCAUUGGCCGCGAGGGUUAUGGCAACGUAUACUUCCCGGAUUCGUUCGAUGUAUAUGGCUUGAAUCUUGAUGAAAUUGUACACUUUCGUCACAAGGAGGUAAUUAUUUAUCCCGAUGACGAGAAGAAACCACCAGUGGGACAAGGUCUGAACAGAAAAGCGCAAGUUACCCUGGACAAAGUGUGGCCGCACGACAAGUCACUGCACGAACCGAUCACGGAUCCGCAGCGACUCGCUGCGAUGAAUUACGAGGGAAAAUUACGCAGAGUUUCUGCUAAACAUGAUACUCGCUUCCUCGAAUAUCGACCAGAAACUGGUUCAUGGGUUUUUAAAGUUGAUCACUUUUCCAAAUACGGUCUCAGCGAUUCGGAUGAGGAUGACAGUCAGGUCUCGCCAACUUCAGACGCAAAGAAACUAAAGGGAUUCUCCGCGUCCGUACAAAAAAGUAAGCCCGUCGAUCCAUCCGCAACAAUGAAUAAGGCGAUUAAUGGAACAAUUAACGGAACGUUCGAUGGCACAAAAAUCGGGAACGGCAAACAACUGAGCAUGGCCGAGAGCAAUUUUUUAGGGAAGACCCCGAUUAAUCGUUUCGGUUACAGUGAUCAUAGUUGUGAGGAGCGAGGAAUGAUCGUCAGCUCGGUCAGAGAAAUCCCAUUUGGUUGUUCUGAUUUCAUUUCUGGGGAUUAUAGUUACGAGAAACGGAUGACCGUCAGUCCGGUCGGCGAUAGCGCCAGAGUCGCUGGUACAGAUAGUCACAAAUUGCAGCUUAUGAAAGCGAGCUUCUUCAACGCGAAUGAUGAAGACGUAAAUGAAGAACCGAGCAACGGAAUAUUUCCUUCUGUACAGAAAACUUUAAUACGUUACUUUUCGAACGUCACGGAAGCUAAAAGCAACCAGGAAGCUCUGUAUACUACCACGGCGUUGCGUACAACUUUUGUCGCAAAUGAAACAUUGUUCUCUACACCACUCUCAGAGAACGUGGCACUUUGCGCGUCAUCAAGUAGAAGAUCGCAUUUGUCUCAUAUUGGCGUUCGAGACAAACAGUCAAUCAUCGAGAAAGCUAUUCUGCCGCCUAUAAUUACGCCAGUUACGAGCGUGUUAAAAUAUCAUUAUGAGGUUGUGCCACUCAAGGAGUCCAGAUUGAACAGGCUACGAUUUCGUUGCGUUGCUGACGCCGGCAUUUACAUGGGUCGAACGUUUCGGCCGAGCUGGGGCACUGGUCUGACGCUGUUGUCGCUGAGUACGCAAGAGCAGGCGACCAAGAUGCAAUUGCGGAGCGCAUUCAGUCAACUGAGUCGUUACGUCUCCGGUCGUCUCGCCGACGAUGUCUCGUCAACAGUGAUUGUUCAACGUCUGCAGAUCUUAGGUGGCGAUGAAUACGACGCAAGAACGUUCAGCGACAGUAUAGAGCGUCAUUUGAGAAUUCAGCUGGAUCACUGCGUGAUGGGCCACGAAGGGGACUGUCCCACAUUUGACGUAGCGACUGAUAGCGCGAAUGAGGCGUUGCAACUACACUGCACAUUGGCGCAAGAUCUUGCAGAAAAGGAGCAGAGACCAUGCGAAAACACCAACGACGAGCAAAUACAAAGUGGCGCCAGCGAAAGAUCGUUCCGUCAAUACGCGAACAUCGUGUGGGCUUUAUGCAUAGCGCUCUGGGGAAGUUACGCCAAUCAGGACACAUUUAAUAAUGCUAACGAAGAACACUACAAUGUUAUGGUAAGGAGAGAGGCUGUAGGCGAAUGGCUGAGAAAUGUAGUGCAAAGAACGGUCGAACGAGAGAUCAAGAGCAUCGACGGCGAAGCGAAGAAUUCCCACGAGAAAAUGAUAUUGUCGCUACUCUCUGCUUACAAACUGGAAGAUGCCUGCCAGGAGGCGCGGAAGGCCGGAGACCACUGUCUGGCGUUGCUGAUGGCGCAACUGCGAAGCGGCGCAACGGUCAAGAAGUUGAUCAAGCAACAGCUCGCACUUUGGCAGGAAACUGACGUGGAUGAAAAUCUUACGAUUGAUCGUCUCAAGUUGUUUAUGCUGGUGGCGGGUGAGCCGCUUAUCUCCAGCAAGCAUGGAACUAUUAAUGUAUGCGAGUAUCUGGACUGGAAGCGCGCUUUUGCCAUCCAUCUAUGGUACCUAUCAUCGCCGACCUGCUCGAUUACUGAUGCCUUAGAUCUCUACGAGGCAUCGUUUAACACAACGGAGGCUCAGGCGUACGCGGCGGUACCCGAACCCGAGUAUAGACAGAAUGACUAUGAUGCUGAGUUAAGUAACGGCAAACGGAUACACGAUCUCUGCUUUCACCUUUUAAAGCUGUACUGUACGGGAAAUCACGAUCUGGGCGAGCUUCUGAAUCCGCUGACAUACACCGCCAAUCCCCUAGAUUACAGAUUGAGUUGGUUGAUGCAACAAACGCUUGUGGCUUUGGGCUACACGCAUCUCUCUGAUCACGUUGCUGCGUUAACGCACACAAAUUUCGCAACUCAACUGGAGGCGCACGGACUCUGGCAUUGGGCGAUCUUUGUGGUAUUGCAUCUACGAGAUUCAUCUAGACGACGGACUGCUGUGCAAGAUCUGUUGUUACGCCAUAUAGAGAUAGAUAAUACUCCAGAAUACGUAAAACGUGAGCAAUUCUUAAAGGAAGAACUUGGUAUAUCAUCAAUUUGGAUUCAUCAGGCUAAAGCCAUCAAAAGUAGUAUCAAUAAAAGAUAUGGCGAAGCAGCUUGGUAUUACAUCCAGGCAGAACAGUGGACUCAAGCCCAUGAAAUUAUUAUAGAGCAUCUGGCAGCCGAUGCUGUAAUAAAUGAAAACUACGAAUAUUUGAAAUCAUUAUUAAGUUCACUAGUAGCAGCCGAAUGUAGCGGCACAAUUAGUGGAUGGUCGCAUCAGGGGCAACUUUUGUGGGAAUAUAUGGAAAUAACCAGCGAGAUCCAGGACCUAUUGAAGUCUGCUCCAGAUUAUUGUGGGCUAACUUAUCAAUUGGAAGCGCUGAAGCCUCGAUUAACAGCCGUCUGUCAGAAAAUUGAUCAAUUCCCAUGUCUAACUGCUAAACACAGAUAAACCUUUUAAAAAAGAAUCAUCACACCUGGGUGGGUCACAGUGACGUAUUUUUCCAACGGCUGCCGAACAGACACUGACGCUCUCCUCCUUUGAAUUGUGCCAGGCUGAAAUUGCAAAGAGAACUUUGCACUUGGCUAGAAAUAUGUUGUUGCUACAGGAAAA
Molecule: unclassified non-coding RNA, 5921 nt
Filed under: Monomorium pharaonis (pharaoh ant)
Lineage: Eukaryota; Metazoa; Arthropoda; Insecta; Hymenoptera; Formicidae
Description: nuclear pore complex protein Nup98-Nup96, transcript variant X1
Source: RNAcentral